UACAGAGGGGGCAAGCGUUAUUCGGAAUUAUUGGGCGUAAAGGGCGCGUAGGCGGCUUGGCAAGUGGAUGGUGAAAUCCCUCGGCUUAACCGAGGAACUGCCAUCCAGACUGCUUUGCUUGAGGCCGGGAGAGGUGAGUGGAAUUCCCAGUGUAGCGGUGAAAUGCGUAGAUAUUGGGAGGAACACCAGUGGCGAAGGCGGCUCACUGGACCGGUUCUGACGCUGAGGCGCGAAAGCGUGGGUAGCAAACAGG
Molecule: ribosomal RNA, 253 nt
Filed under: uncultured bacterium
Lineage: Bacteria
Description: partial 16S ribosomal RNA
Rfam family: Bacterial small subunit ribosomal RNA
Source: RNAcentral